GAUGAACGCUGGCGGCGUGCCUAAUACAUGCCAGUCGAGCGAACAGACGAGGAGCUUGCUCCUCUGACGUUAGCGGCGGACGGGUGAGUAACACGUGGAUAACCUACCUCUAAGACUGGGAUAACUUCGGGAAACCGGAGCUAAUACCGGAUAAUAUAUUGAACCUCAUGGUUCAAUAGUUAAAGACGGUUUUGCUUUCACUUAUAGAUGAAUCCGCGCCGCAUUAGCUGGUUGGUAAGGUAACGGCUUACCAAGGCAACGAUGGGUAGCCGACCUGAGAGGGAGAUCGGACAGAUGGGAUCUGAGAAACGGUCCAGACUCCGACGGGAGGCAGCAGUAGGGAAUCUUACGCAAUGGGGGAAAGCCUGAUGGAGCAAAGCGGCGUGAGGGAUGAAGGUCUUCGGAUCGGAAAACGCUGUUAGUAGGGAAGAACAAAUGUGUAAGUAACUAUGCACGUAUUGACGGUACCGAAUCAGAAAGCCACGGCUAACUACGUG
Molecule: ribosomal RNA, 497 nt
Filed under: uncultured bacterium
Lineage: Bacteria
Description: partial 16S ribosomal RNA
Rfam family: Bacterial small subunit ribosomal RNA
Source: RNAcentral